GAUGAACGCUGGCGGCGUGCCUAACACAUGCAAGUCGAACGGAAAGGCCCUGCUUUUGUUGGUUGCUCGAUUGCCGAACGGGUGAGUAACACGCGUGUAUCCCGUCCUUGUCUUUCGGAUAACUUCACGAAACUCGGGCUAUUACCGGAUAUGAUCUCCUGCUCCAUGGUGGUGGUUGGUAAGUUUCGGCGGUUGGGGAUGGACUCGCGGCUUAUCAGCUUCUUUGUGGGGUUGUGGCUUACCAAGGCUUUGACGGGUAGGCGGCCUGAGGGGGUGAGCGGCCACAUUGGGACUGAGGGAAGGCCCAGACUGGUACGGGAGGCAGAAGUGGGGAAUAUUGCAGAAUGGGCGGAAGCCUGAUGCAGCAACGCCGCGGGCGGGAAGACGGCCUUCGGGGUGUAAACCGCUUUCGCCUGUGACGAAGCGUGAGUGACGGUAAUGGGUAAAGAAGCACCGGCUAACUACGUG
RNAcentral lists this ribosomal RNA (468 nucleotides) under uncultured bacterium. RNAcentral's name for it is "partial 16S ribosomal RNA". It matches the Rfam family "Bacterial small subunit ribosomal RNA", at positions 28 to 507 of the family's 1533-position model. The record is from RNAcentral.